RNAcentral lists this ribosomal RNA (497 nucleotides) under uncultured bacterium. RNAcentral describes it as "partial 16S ribosomal RNA". It matches the Rfam family "Bacterial small subunit ribosomal RNA", at positions 28 to 507 of the family's 1533-position model. The record is from RNAcentral.
GAUGAACGCUGGCGGCGUGCCUAAUACAUGCAAGUCGAGCGAACAGACGAGGAGCUUGCUCCUCUGACGUUAGCGGCGGACGGGUGAGUAACACGUGGAUAACCUACCUAUAAGACUGGGAUAACUUCGGGAAACCGGAACUAAUACCGGAUAAUAUAUUGAACCGCAUGGUUCAAUAGUGAAAGACGGUUUUGCUGUCACUUAUAGAUGGAUCCGCGCCGCAUUAGCUAGUUGGUAAGGUAACGGCUUACCAAGGCAACGAUGCGUAGCCGACCUGAGAGGGUGAUCGGCCACACUGGAACUGAGACACGGUCCAGACUCCUACGGGAGGCAGCAGUAGGGAAUCUUCCGCAAUGGGCGACAGCCUGACGGAGCAACGCCGCGUGAGUGAUGAAGGUCUUCGGAUCGUAAAACUCUGUUAUUAGGGAAGAACAAAUGUGUAAGUAACUAUGCACGUCUUGACGGUACCUAAUCAGAAAGCCACGGCUAACUACGUG